GUCUGGCACAGAGCGUCGGAUGCCGGAAAGUUGGUCAAACUUGAUCAUUUAGAGGAAGUAAAAGUCGUAACAAGGUUUCCGUAGGUGAACCUGCGGAAGGAUCAUUACCGAUCGAUCACCAGAUAGCUUUUACAGCUAACUGCCGUGUGAACCGUACCGGAGCAUUCUUUUUCCAGGGGUCGGCCCGGGGGGCCGUUAAAUGGCCAACGGACGCGAGGCCGGCAGGUGUCUCGCGGCCGCUUGGCCUGCCCCGUUUUUGUUUUUUGAACGUACGAAUACGCUGUCUGAUUGACGACCCUGAAGGGGGAGGCGUCCGCCUUCCCCGGGUAGAAAGCAAAAGAGAGAGAGAGACAACUUUUGACGGUGGAUCUCUUGGCUCACGCAUCGAUGAAGAACGCAGCCAGCUGCGAUAAGUAGUGUGAAUUGCAGAAUUCAGUGAAUCAUCGAAUCUUUGAACGCAAAUGGCGCUCUUGGGUUCUCCCAGGAGCAUGUCUGUUUGAGUGUCGGAUUGUCAUCCAUCGCGGGUGCGCGCUCGCUCCAGCGAGAGAACGCGCCGGCGGCGUUGAGGCGUCACGGCCCCCCCACCCACCUCCGAGUUGGACGGGCCGGGCCGUGUCCCUUGAAAGGCAGAGAGACUCACUGGCUGCGGUCCGGGGCUCGUCCCCGCGGCGCACAAGCGGAGGCUAUAAAAGUGUCAGCACUCCUUCGCGCGCCGCAGGGUCCCCGCCGGCCGCGCGGCCGAGUCGCCUAGGCGAAGAGACGAAACCACCUUCUGACCUCAGAU
Molecule: small RNA, 784 nt
Filed under: Favites pentagona
Lineage: Eukaryota; Metazoa; Cnidaria; Anthozoa; Scleractinia; Merulinidae
Description: eukaryotic LSU rRNA
Rfam family: 5.8S ribosomal RNA (bases 353-506)
Source: RNAcentral